UUAAUAAACAGUUUUUAACGAUCUUUCAAGUUUCAAUCACGCCGCUUACUAAAUGAUGGGACUGUUAUAAACCCUGCCAUAUGCUAUCCACUCUGGUAAAUUAAUGGACAGUCUGACCACUAAUUUAAAUUUUUGAGAUAUAAUAUUUGGAUUCGAUCCCAAUAUGGAUAGAUAGGCGAAGUAUUUCCAUCAUGGUUUCCACACGUCCAAUAUGUUCGAUUCUUAGUUAAAUAUUCUCGUUGGCGGGAAAGCAAUGCUUGUCGGGAAAUUUGUUCGUGGCAUUAUUAAAACUUGUCUUGCUGGAGGCCUCAUUUUUGCAGACAGAAGCGAACCUGACAAACGUAAAUUCAUUUCAUCCGACAAUUAAUAUAAUUAAUUAACUUCAUAAAUGUCUGCAAUCAUCUCAUCGAAAGAUCUGAAAAGAGAAAUUUGCACAAAAAGCGUGGGAGAAGUGGAUCUGAUGACAUUACUCAAAAACUUCUAUGAUUUCCAGGAAGAAAGAGUUUUUACUUAUCAUUUAUUUGAUGAGUUGAAACUCUUUAGUUUGGCAUUAUGUGAUCCGGCAUGCUUUUACAGUUCACUACUAGAUCCCUCAACCUUGGAUGACCUGCGUGCCGGGCAGUUUUGAAGUUAAGCUUAAUGAUAUUUUAAUAAAUUUAAAUGUUCUAAUUGAAUGAUUUUAAUAUAAAAUGUUUUUGAUUAUUUUACAAGUUAUUAAAUCGGUAAUUUUAAUUUUAUAUGAUACAAAUUUUUGUUGUUUUUAUUUACAAAAAAAUUAUAGAAAAUUGUAUCAUUUUGAAAAACAAGAUCCAAUAAAACUUUUAUUGGAUUAAUUUCAGUUUAGCCAAUUUUAUUAUUUCUAAACCAAUAAUUAAUAUACUUAUAUCAAAUUUAGAAAAUUAUUUAUCAUCAUCAUUUUAUCUUAUUACUAAUAAUUAAAAAAUAAUAAUAAAAUUAAUCUAUCAAAUAAUUGAAAUUAACAAUCACUGGGAAGUAUAAAUUAAAUUUCUUAAUGGGAGAAUUAUAAAAAUUUUGAAUAAAGUACAAAAAUUAGAUUAUUGACAUUUUUUUAAAUAUUUCUGAACUAAUAAUGUAGAUAUUGGCAUAUACUUUAACUUCUAAAAGUAAUUUAUAUGAUAGUGGACUUCUGGUAAAGAAUGUUAUCUUGUUACAUUCUGACACGAUUAAGUGCUUUCUAGAUUUUUGAUGCAUUUACUGGUGAACUGUUUAUUUUUCACAUAUAUUAUAAAAUGCUAUUUUAAACUGCAAAUGAUAUUUGUAAAACAAUUUAUUUCUGUUUUUAAAUAAAUUCAUGAUUUGUACAAAGAAAAUAUCAUAUAUUGCCUAGACAUACAUCAUAUAAUUUGUUUAUAUAAUGUAGAUAAAUUGUUCAAGCCUAGAUCAUUGUGUAUUUAUGAUUUUAAUUAAC
RNAcentral lists this long non-coding RNA (1429 nucleotides) under Androctonus crassicauda. Lineage: Eukaryota; Metazoa; Arthropoda; Arachnida; Scorpiones; Buthidae. The record is from RNAcentral.